AACGAACGCUGGCGGCAUGCCUAACACAUGCAAGUCGAACGAGACCUUCGGGUCUAGUGGCGCACGGGUGCGUAACGCGUGGGAACCUGCCCUUAGGUUCGGAAUGACUCCCCGAAAGGGGUGCUAAUACCGGAUAAUGUCUUCGGACCAAAGAUUUAUCGCCUUUGGAUGGGCCCGCGUUGGAUUAGCUAGUUGGUAGGGUAAAAGCCUACCAAGGCGACGAUCCAUAGCUGGUCUGAGAGGAUGAUCAGCCACACUGGGACUGAGACACGGCCCAGACUCCUACGGGAGGCAGCAGUGGGGAAUAUUGGACAAUGGGCGAAAGCCUGAUCCAGCAAGGCCGCGUGAGUGAUGAAGGCCUUAGGGUUGUAAAGCUCUUUUACCCGGGAUGAUAAUGACAGUACCGGGAGAAUAAGCUCCGGCUAACUCCGUG
Molecule: ribosomal RNA, 433 nt
Filed under: uncultured bacterium
Lineage: Bacteria
Description: partial 16S ribosomal RNA
Rfam family: Bacterial small subunit ribosomal RNA
Source: RNAcentral